GUCACUUCCCUGCUUUUUGGCUAAGAACAAAUUUAUAUCUGUUCUUAUCAGUUUAAUAUCUGACAUAUUCUCUACCUGAGGUCAGCAUACUAAAUUGGUUUUUGGAUUGGGGAGGUGGAAAGGGGGCUUGUUCCAUCCAUUCCAUGCCUCAUUUUGGCAUGGCUGUACUUCCAGGAAUGGUGCACUUCUC
Choloepus didactylus (southern two-toed sloth) is the source of this 190-nucleotide small nuclear RNA. RefSeq annotates it as U2 spliceosomal RNA. The transcript has a single exon. The record is from RefSeq and is a predicted model, not a curated record. NCBI's taxonomy places the organism in Eukaryota, Metazoa, Chordata, Mammalia, Pilosa, Megalonychidae.